UCUAGCCAGCCAGCCCCCUCUUCUCUCUGACUGGAGCCCUGUGCACCUGGGACAGAGACCUCAACCCUCCUUGGCCUCUGGGGGGUGGGCCAGACUGACGGCGGGGUUGCUGUACCCCUGACCUUUGCCCCCACAGCUCGGAAUACCUGGCCAUCACCUCAGAAAGCAAAGAGAACUGUACGGGCGUCCAGGUGGCCGAAUAGCCCCGGCCCUGGGCUCCGCCUCAAGGAAGAGCCAGCCCUAACAGGGAACAUCCGGGCACAGCCUGCCCCCAAUGGGGGUUGGCCAUUCCUGGGCCUCCAUAAGCCUCAAAGUCCUGCCAACGGAGCCUCCAGGGUGGGAGGGGGCAGGGGGCUUGGCUCACACCCCUAAUCCAGCCUUCUUCCUCCUGCCCCAUCACCCGCCCGCGCCGUGCAUGAUGGGUAAAGCAAUACUGCCGCUGCCCCCAUGCUUCUGCUGCCUGUUUGGGAGGGGGCGGUGAGGUGGGGGCAGCGGCUCCGCACCCCUCUUUCUUGCUGAUUUGCACACACUGGCCGCUUUGGACAUGCACUACUGGGGCCCAGCCCCUUCCUUCCCCCUCCCCGCCCGGUGAGGGUUAUAAUGGGCUGGAACAGCUUGGGGCAGGGGGUUCUGAGACCCACUCCGACCCCCAGCAACAUUUCCCCUCCUGCUUCCUCUGGCUGGACCUGGGGUCUCCUCUCCCUGUGAUGCACUCUCACCCCAGCCCAACCCGCCCUCUCUCACCAGCCUUGGAUUGUGGCCACUUUGAAAGGGGCCCAUUCAGCCUCGUCUCUCUUUACACAAGUAGUUUUGUUCAUGAAAUAAAGAUUCUUGGACUUGCUUCA
Physeter macrocephalus (sperm whale) is the source of this 845-nucleotide long non-coding RNA. RefSeq lists it as uncharacterized. The transcript is spliced from 2 exons. The record is from RefSeq and is a predicted model, not a curated record. Lineage: Eukaryota; Metazoa; Chordata; Mammalia; Artiodactyla; Physeteridae.